Molecule: transfer RNA, 71 nt
Filed under: Phytophthora infestans (potato late blight agent)
Lineage: Eukaryota; Oomycota; Peronosporomycetes; Peronosporales; Peronosporaceae
Description: tRNA-Asn
Rfam family: tRNA
About the family: Transfer RNA (tRNA) molecules are approximately 80 nucleotides in length.
Source: RNAcentral
UCUCCUAUAGCUCAGUUGGUAGAGCGUGCGGCUGUUAACCUCAAGUCGCUGGUUCAACCCAGCUGGGAGAG